GUAGGUGAACCUGCGGAAGGAUCAUUAU
RNAcentral lists this non-coding RNA (28 nucleotides) under Homo sapiens (human). RNAcentral also lists the same sequence under 2 other names. Lineage: Eukaryota; Metazoa; Chordata; Mammalia; Primates; Hominidae. The record is from RNAcentral.